This 253-nucleotide long non-coding RNA is filed under the name Malus domestica (apple). RNAcentral describes it as "long non-coding RNA (MDOM_LNC011777)". The record is from RNAcentral. Lineage: Eukaryota; Viridiplantae; Streptophyta; Magnoliopsida; Rosales; Rosaceae.
GAGCUUUGAGCGGAUGGGGGGAUUGGUGGCGGAGGCGGCAGCGGCGCCGAUUUGCUUCAUGAGAUGGGAUGAGGUGUUUGUGUCGAGCGACAAAGGGCGGAGGGAAGUCCAUUACUAUCUGAAACGCAGAGACGGCAGUUCAGAUCUGGCGGUGGUAGGCAAAGAGAAGAGCUUGCGGCACAUGUCCUAUCAUUAUGCUUUCCGAAUCCGGUCCUUGUUCUCCAUGUCGUCGCUCGCUAAGCUUAAAUCUCGC